Molecule: RNA transcript, 6258 nt
Organism: Aethalodelphis obliquidens (Pacific white-sided dolphin)
Lineage: Eukaryota; Metazoa; Chordata; Mammalia; Artiodactyla; Delphinidae
Gene name: actin related protein 3B
Exons: 12
Source: RefSeq, a predicted model, not a curated record
CCACAUGUAUGUAAGCAGUUGGAAUGUUUAGGUGCUGACCCUGUUAUCUAUUAUAUUUGUUGUCCUUUCCAUCUUAAUGUUCUCCGCACACUUGUUGUCUUUGUUUACACCUGAGUCAGGGUCCUGUAGGAAGCUGUGGUGUGCUGGAGAAAGCUGCGGGUGAUUUAGAUCUGUGUCCUACAGUGAGUCAUGUGCAUACUCCGUGAAUACUCAGAGGUGCUUACUGAUAGCUACUCUUUAGACACAUUUCUCCAUCAUGUUCUCAAGGACUAUUUGGACCACAUCUUGCUUUUCAUAGGUAUUGCCAUCAGAGAGUCUGCAAAGGUGGUCGACCAAGCCCAGAGGAGGGUGUUGAGGGGUGUCGACGACCUGGACUUCUUCAUAGGGGACGAAGCCAUAGAUAAACCCACGUAUGCCACAAAGUGGCCAAUAAGACACGGAAUAAUUGAAGACUGGGACCUAAUGGAAAGGUUCAUGGAGCAAGUGAUUUUUAAAUAUCUUCGAGCUGAGCCUGAGGAUCAUUAUUUUUUAAUGACAGAACCUCCACUGAACACACCAGAAAACAGAGAAUAUCUUGCAGAAAUUAUGUUUGAAUCAUUUAAUGUACCAGGACUCUACAUUGCAGUUCAGGCAGUGCUGGCCUUAGCAGCGUCUUGGACCUCGCGACAAGUGGGCGAACGUACGUUAACGGGGAUCGUCAUCGACAGUGGGGAUGGGGUCACCCAUGCUAUCCCAGUGGCAGAAGGGUAUGUCAUUGGGAGCUGCAUCAAACACAUCCCUAUCGCAGGGAGAGAUAUUACGUAUUUCAUGCAACAGCUGCUGAGGGAGCGGGAGGUGGGGAUUCCUCCGGAGCAGUCGCUGGAGACUGCCAAAGCCAUCAAGGAGAAAUACUGUUACAUUUGCCCUGAUAUCGUCAAGGAAUUUGCCAAGUAUGAUGUGGAUCCUCAGAAGUGGAUCAAACAGUACACGGGGAUCAAUGCAGUCAACCAGAAGAAGUUCAUCAUAGAUGUUGGCUACGAAAGGUUCCUGGGCCCUGAGAUUUUCUUUCACCCGGAGUUUGCCAACCCAGACUUUAUGGAGUCCAUCUCGGACGUUGUUGAUGAAGUCAUUCAGAGCUGCCCCAUCGAUGUCCGUCGUCCGCUGUAUAAGAAUGUCGUUCUUUCGGGGGGCUCGACGAUGUUCAGGGACUUUGGACGUCGCCUGCAGAGAGACUUAAAAAGGGUGGUGGACGCCAGACUGAGACUCAGCGAGGAGCUCAGUGGCGGCAGAAUAAAGCCCAAGCCCGUGGAGGUCCAGGUGAUAACACAUCAUAUGCAGCGCUAUGCGGUGUGGUUCGGAGGCUCGAUGCUGGCCUCAACUGUGGGUGUGCGAUGCCGUAGCACACGUGUGUGAGAGGACCUCCCUCCGCUGUGUCACCGUCUGCAGUGUGGUCAGCGGGAGAGCCCAGCGGAAGAAAUGACCCCGCAGGAAUCUUGAAGACUGUGGCUGAACUUGGCGACUGAGCAGAGAACGGGCCAGGUGAAAUCCUGCCUUCAGACCCUGGCAUUGCUGUCGGCUUGUUGCUGGUCCUUGUUAAUAUCAGUUCAUUUCUUUCUCCUGCUCACCUGCUGAUGGGGGUUAUGUGCUCCAGGGGAGCCAGUGGCCACAGGAUCCCACCUUACUGGACAACUCCGAUGACCAGAGUUCCUGGAAAGAUGAGCUAGGAGGGGAUGGGGACAUUGUCAAGGAAACCACAGGAGGCUGUGGUCCAGCUCUCACUGCACCUCUCAGACUGUAGUCUGUAGAACCACACCCUCUGGGUUUGUGCGGUUGCCUCCGGUUUUUGUUUUUUUAAACUGGGAAAAGCCAUCAUUUGUCGAGUGCUUGCUGGGUUCUGGGUACUGUGCUAAGUCCCCGUUCCAUCAACGCACGUUUGCUAAGUGCCUGUUAGCCCCAGGAUGUGCCAGUCUGAGGUGGAGUCUCCUUUCCAGUGGGAGAGCUGUGCAUUAAGCAGAUAAUCGCAGAUUAUCACAGACUGUGGAAGGGCCACGAGAGAAAGAAGUGCGGGGUGUGCUGAGACACACCACAGGGGCCCUGGGUGGCGUCGCAGCUUCCCGAGCAAGUGACACCCAGCUGAGACCACGAGAGACGCCAGCCGGGUGGAGGUGUGGGGAAGCAGCCAGAAGGGGCUGAUAUGGCAAUGAAAUGCCUCACUAACACACAGGCCCGGUAUGGAUGGAGUAGAGGCAUCCAAGGUGGGACUGGGUGCAGAACUCGGUCUUUCUCUGGAGAACAAAGUCCUCAGGCACGUGAAACAAUUUUAAACAUGAGCGUGGAUGGUCAGGUUGGUGCAGCCGUGCCUGGAAGUUUCAGCCAAGAACUGUAGCUUUUCUCUAGAGUCUGAGCAGACGUGGAAGAAAAGAAGAGAGUCAGCCAGACGCGAGCGCUGCUCUGGAGUGUUCUCUUGGGAAAGCUGUCUCGUGAGACCAGACGGUCUGGCAGAGGCAGCCAGGGAAGACUGGCAGAAAGUUCGAGCCUUACCCUGUGGAACAGUGGGCAAAAGGAAUCAGAGCAGCCAGCGCCUACGAUCUUCAGAUGAAGGUGGGGAGUGGGUUUUGGGGUUUUAGUAUAAUAGAAUAUACGGCCAGUGGAUGCAGUUAGUUUUCAGUUUUAAAACUGAAAGACAGGUGCUUCUGCUGAAUUUAGAAGCAGUAGGUGUUUUUCACUCUUCUUAGCUCUGUGCUUUGUUUCUUUUGUAGAAAAAGAGCUCCUGUGAUUUGUCCAUAAUCAGUGGUAUUUGAGAGCUGUUAUAGAAGGACUUAUGAUACAGCACAGUGUAGAAAAAGUGCUCUAAAUAGUAAUUAGAAAUAAGCUAUCAAGAGAAAUGUUUGUGAGCUAUAAAGGUACAAGUGACUGGUAUUUUCCACUGACAUGACUCAUCUUAAUUAGGAUGGUAUACUGAACUUGCAUUUCUGAUUAUGCAGUCAUUUUCUUGAGCUGAAUUAGUAUGUUUUAACAUUUAUUCAUUAGCCCUUAGUCUAUGAUAAAUUAAACGUUAUAGGUAAUCAAAACAUUAUUGCGUGAUAUCAUUACAGUGCUCUGAAUUAGAGUUUAAGAACAUUAUUACAAUAGUAUAUGUAACUUAAACGUCCCCUACUGGCAAAGAUGAAUAGCAUUAUGAACUUUCUGGUGAUAUGCCGUUCAUGUCCGGGUUGAUUUACAGUUGAGUAACUUUUAAAGAACUGACAGCACUUGUGCCGAGCCUUUAUGAACAGUGUCCCUUCCAAGGAGGAAGCCAUCCUCUGUAAUUUGGUGGUGAUCACUAAACCACUCAUAAUGAUAUGUGUACUAAGUUUGUCGUGCCAGUGCCCUGAGAAGUUGUUAUAUUCAUGGCAUAGUAAAGUAGGUGCCUGGUUUCACAAUGUCACAUUAGGAAAUCAGCUACAUAAAAACGGAAUAAUGAUGUCGAUAGGGCUUAAAAACCACACCUGGGGAUAGUUUUUCAGGAUUUCGUUUUUUCUUAAAAAAAAAAUCACUGAUACAUUCACACAAAGGGAUAUACAUUUUUGAGCGUAUGUAUUUUUUCUUAAAUCUUAAACUCUGCCAUUCCAGUGGACUGCUCUAGAAAGCCUUGGGGCUGUAAAUACUGGACGUCUCCUCCUUCAGUUCCUUACCCAAGGGGGAUGCUUGUUGCCGGUGUGAAUAGAAUGGGAAAGGGACUUGGUGUUCUUUCCCCAACAUGAGAGAUGGGUUUGUGGGGAUGAGAGUUACAGGCCUUUAGACCAAGCAGUUUGCCUCUCCCCGGCCUCCCCACGACCAGGUCCUCUUGACCACGUGGGAUGAGAAGUGACUGAUGAUGAGCAGAAUUCCGGUCUGUGUCCACCACACAGAGUCGGGCUUGCUGGAUGACACAGGACUUGAACCAGAGACCGCAUGGAGACCAACAAAAAUUACUCAGGCCUGCUCACAAGUGAACUGUGGCUUAAUACCAAGCAUCUGCUUCCGAUGUGCUUGUUAUAGCAGAGAGAUGAAAAACAAGUUCCAAGCUCAGAUAUAUUUAGGAAACCUUGUGUUAAAGAAAGCACAUUUCUUUUUUCUUUUUUUUUAGAAAGCAUCUUUCUUUACUCAGUUGACGAGAGCUUUUGAUAUGCUGGGAUGCGUCGUGUCCUUCUGAGCACAAUGUAGUGCACUGCGUUCCAUGUCUACACCCUGGCCCCCGAAACAGGAACACCUCUCGGCACCAGUGGUCCAGAGGACAGAGUUUGGGGGAUCCGUCCUACUGGGAUCCCCCAGGGAGAGCCGCCUUCGGAUCGGGUUGUCGGAGGAGGGCCCUCUCUCAUCUUGCUCUUGGUAGACUGAGGGAAAUUGAGGUUUCUAAAAAGGAUUUUUUUGUUUUUACUUUGGAAUAAUUACUUUUAUUUUACUGUGAACUGAAGAGAAAUGAUAAUUGUGCUUCUGAUGGUCAUUGGUGAUAAAAAGAAAUUAAGGAAAGUUGAAGUUACAGCAAGUAUUUUGGUAUUUUUGCAGGAAGAUUGUAAUUAAGAAAAUGGGCUGCUUGGCAUUUCUUUCCGUAAUUUUUCAUUUCUUAUGCUCUCAUUCAUCAUCUGAGAGGAUGCACGCGUUCAGUGUGUUACAGUCUGCAGGCUGCAUUUAUGCAGUUUUUCUGCAAGGACAUAAUUCCUAUCCAUUGGAGUUUGAUUUCAAAUAUGAACAAAAUCCCUGACAGGAAGAGAUUGAGAGAUGCCAGGGGUUCCUACAGUGCUAACUGGGGUGGGGGUGGGGGAUUGAUAGUGUGCUGGUCACUGGGACAACAAUUUUUAUUUUUAAGGGAAAACAGAUUCCUUUUAACGAGUAUGAUAAAAAUAAGAACGAUAUGAUGUUAUGCUGACAUCCUUUGUUCUUGAGUGAGAACCCCCAGUUUUCUUUAAUCUCCAGUCACAAUUGUGUGCUUUGGGGAAUAUUCUUUUUUUUUCGGGGGGGGGGGUGGAUAUUCUUAAAGAGGAAAAUAAUUUUUAUUCAUUUUAAUAGUUUUAGUGGGCAUCCUAUUUGUGGUUAGGGCAAAGAGUUUCUAAAGGUCAUUUACUUUCAGACGUUUUUGGUUCAGAACUUUGGAGACUGUGGUCAGCCUUCCAUCGCGUGGGCUCUGCCCAUUCGUUAUCCGGGGGGACUGUGAUUUUCCCCCUGCCCUGCCCUCCGGCUGUUUUUCAUGGCAGCACCUCUUCUGGAGAAUGUAGAGGAAAAUUAAAGAUGAAAACGGCUUUCCUUUUAGUUGUGGGAAAAAUAAUGUGGUGGUAAAGAAGAUAAAACUUUGUUGUAUGGAAAUAAAUGAAGAACCACAUAAGUAAGAGGCUGCUUACUUAGCGCUGGUGGAGCGCAGGGGUCCAUCCAGGGGAAGGGGGCUCCAGGGCGCCCUGGUGGAGGCUAUGGGCGCGGGGGACCUAGGGCGGCCAGCUUCCCCACGUGAUUGGUUAGGGGAGCAUGUUGGGUUUUCCCCAGUUGGUCCUGAGCUGGAAGUGGGGUCAGAAGUCAGGGAAGCUGUCCAUUAUUGAUAGAGUCCUGGCUGUCUUGGGCUGGUUGCUGCUCGUGCAGUUUGGCUUCCUGGGCUGAUGAUGCUUGUCGAUGAAAAAUUAAUCAGUCGAUCUAAGAAAGAAUUGGAAAAUUUUAUCUGAGCCAAAUUUGAGGAUGAUCACCCGGGAAGAGCAUCUCAGAAAGCUCUGAGAACUGUUCUGCCCUUUACAAGUCACGGCAUAGUUACAGAAGCAUUUUCUUGAGACAGAGCAGAGUGUACAUUAAAUGAUGUAUUAUCGACAGCCUGCGUAAUCCAGAUCUAAGUGCCCUCGCGGGGGGGGGGGGGGUGACGUGACCCUUACGAGCUCAAGGAGGAACGUUCUCUUUUAAGGGGUUGUCUUGGUGCUGGGAGAACGUGGCUCUUUUUGGUGGAGCAGGUAUUUCUGCUGAUGGGGGAGGUUUGAUCGAUGCGUGGUGCAGGUACACAGUGCACAGUGUGGGGAGAGAGGAGGCCAAAGGGCAGAGAAGAGUUUUCAUGUUUAGAUUUUUCUUGUCUUGCCAUAAAACAUGAGUUUUAUUUCACACGCUGCAGGUUGUGGGUCCGAGGCAGGUUGUCACAUGUGGUCUGGCUGCUGUCUGUUCACGUAUUUAGUCUCUCAAUUGGAAAAAUGAAAUUUUGAGUGAUGUGUGAAUGAUCCAGACUAGAUUUUUUUUUAAGUUUUUUCUUUUUUUUUUUUUAAAGAAUACACAUGCUUUAUUUAUUUAAAUUUU